UGCCAGGAGCAAGCUCCUCGUCUGUGCGCUGCGAAGUCGUGCUUCCCCUGCCUUCUGAAGCACAUGCAGAUGCUCACCAUCGCCUACAACAAAGACGCCCACAUGCACAAAAGAACUCAAAACCAAACCUCUGACAAGAUGGCUCAAAUCAAUCUCACUGUUGGCAUUCACCGGCAGAACAUCUUCAAAUACUGGAACAUUCCGAAGCCCAAUGCUCAA
RNAcentral lists this non-coding RNA (219 nucleotides) under Karenia brevis. Lineage: Eukaryota; Dinophyceae; Gymnodiniales; Kareniaceae. The record is from RNAcentral.